AGAGUUUGAUCAUGGCUCAGAGCGAACGCUGGCGGCGUGCUUAACACAUGCAAGUCGAACGGCCCUCGGGUAGCAAUACUCGAGGGUAGUGGCGAACGGGUGAGUAACACGUGGGUCAUCUCCCCCCGAGUGAGGAAUAAGCCUGCGAAAGCGGGUCUAAUACCGCAUGACACUCCGGGACAUAAGUCUUCGGAGUCAAAAGCCGUAAGGCGCUUGGGGAUGAGCCUGCGUCCUAUUAGCUAGUUGGUAGGGUAAUGCCUACCAAGGCGAUGAUGGGUAGCCGGCCUGAGAGGGUGAACGGCCACACUGGNNUGAGACCGGCCCAGACUCCUACGGGAGGCAGCAGUGAGGAAUUUUGCGCAAUGGGCGAAACCUGNNGCAGCGACGCCGCGUGGAGGAAGACGGCCUUCGGGUUGUAAACUCCUGUCAGAGGUGAAGAAUGCCCGCAAGGGUUUGACGGUAACCUCAGAGGAAGCCCCGGCUAACUACGUGCCAGCAGCCGCGGUAAUACGUAGGGGGCGAGCGUUGCUCGGAAUUACUGGGCGUAAAGGGUGUGUAGGCGGCUGGAUAAGUCACGAUGAAAUCCCGAAGCUCAACUUCGGAAUGGUCUUUGAUACUGUCCGGCUUGAGGCUGGUUGAGGAGAGCGGAAUUCCCGGUGGAGCGGAAAUGCGUAGAUAUCGGGAGGAACACCAGAGGCGAAGGCGGCUCUCUAAACUCGUCCUGACGCUGAAACACGAAAGCUAGGGGAGCAAACGGGAUUAGAUACCCUAGUAGUCC
RNAcentral lists this ribosomal RNA (778 nucleotides) under uncultured bacterium. Its description in RNAcentral is "bacterial SSU rRNA". It matches the Rfam family "Bacterial small subunit ribosomal RNA", at positions 8 to 796 of the family's 1533-position model. The record is from RNAcentral.